GGGCCCGUGGCCUAGCCAGGAUAGGGCACUGGCCUGCGGAGCCAGGGGUCCCGGGUUCAAAUCCCGGCGGGCCCGCCA
This 78-nucleotide transfer RNA is filed under the name Thermoprotei archaeon. RNAcentral describes it as "tRNA-Arg". It matches the Rfam family "tRNA". Rfam says of the family: Transfer RNA (tRNA) molecules are approximately 80 nucleotides in length. Their secondary structure includes four short double-helical elements and three loops (D, anti-codon, and T loops). Lineage: Archaea; Thermoproteati; Thermoproteota; Thermoprotei. The record is from RNAcentral.